This 223-nucleotide unclassified non-coding RNA is filed under the name uncultured Agaricales. Its description in RNAcentral is "sequence contains ITS1". The record is from RNAcentral. Lineage: Eukaryota; Fungi; Basidiomycota; Agaricomycetes; Agaricales.
CUGAAUUACUGGAGGUUGAGCUGGCUUUGCAAGUGCUCGCCUUCAAUAUUCAUCUUUAACCUUUGUGAACUGUAGUGAGACUAUGAUACCUCUCAGUGACUCUGUCAUUGGAUUGAAGGUCUGCGUUAGCUUUCCUUCAACUUCGUAGUCUCCCCCUUUCAUCUCCUUUAAACAAAGUCAUAGAAUGUCUUGUUUUAGGUGUAACAACCUAUAAACUCUUAUA